Molecule: ribosomal RNA, 483 nt
Filed under: uncultured bacterium
Lineage: Bacteria
Description: partial 16S ribosomal RNA
Rfam family: Bacterial small subunit ribosomal RNA
Source: RNAcentral
GACGAACGCUGGCGGCGUGCUUUACACAUGCAAGUCGAACGGUGAAGGUGGAGCUUGCUCCGCCGGAUCAGUGGCGAACGGGUGAGUAACACGUGGGCAACCUGCCCCUAACUUUGGGAUAACUACUCGAAAGAGUAGCUAAUACCGGAUAUGAAGUCUGUAGGCAUCUACGGACUUGGAAAGUUUUUCGGUUAGGGAUGGGCCCGCGGCCUAUCAGCUUGUUGGUGAGGUAGUGGCUCACCAAGGCGACGACGGGUAGCCGGCCUGCGAGGGCACCCGGCCACACUGGGACUGAGACACGGCCCAGACUCCUACGGGAGGCAGCAGUGGGGAAUAUGGCGCAAUGGGCGAAAGCCUGACGCAGCAACGCCGCGCGCGGGAUGAAGGCCUUCGGGUUGUAAACCGCUUUCAGCAGGGAAGAAGCGAAAGUGACGGUACCUGCAGAAGAAGCACCAGCUAACUACGUGCCAGCCGCCGCCGUAA